UCAGCGGGCCGGGCGGCCGCACUGGGGCGCAUGCGUCGCGGUGAGGAAAGUCCGGACUCCGCCGGGCAAGGGCGCCAGGUAACGCCUGGGCGGCGCAAGCCGACGGAAAGUGCAACAGAAACAUACCGCCCGCGUGCUGCGGGUAAGGGUGAAAUGGUGCGGUAAGAGCGCACCGGUGUCCUGGAGACAGGGCAGCCGUGCAAACCCCGCCCGGAGCAAGGCCGAAUAGGGGAGAAGGGCGCCCGGCCCGUUCGAACUCCCGGGUUGGCCGCGUGAGCGUCGCAGCGAUGCGGCGCCUAGAGAGAUGGUCGCCGCCAUUCCGACUUAACCCAUCGGAGGGCACAGAAUCCGGCUUACAGGCCCGCUGAUCAC
This 372-nucleotide RNase P RNA is filed under the name Chloroflexota bacterium. RNAcentral describes it as "Chloroflexi bacterium RNase P RNA component class A". It matches the Rfam family "Bacterial RNase P class A". From Rfam's summary of the family: Ribonuclease P (RNase P) is a ubiquitous endoribonuclease, found in archaea, bacteria and eukarya as well as chloroplasts and mitochondria. Its best characterised activity is the generation of mature 5'-ends of tRNAs by cleaving the 5'-leader elements of precursor-tRNAs. Lineage: Bacteria; Bacillati; Chloroflexota. The record is from RNAcentral.